RNAcentral lists this transfer RNA (72 nucleotides) under Camelus bactrianus (Bactrian camel). It matches the Rfam family "tRNA". From Rfam's summary of the family: Transfer RNA (tRNA) molecules are approximately 80 nucleotides in length. RNAcentral also lists the same sequence under 2 other names. The record is from Rfam by way of RNAcentral. Lineage: Eukaryota; Metazoa; Chordata; Mammalia; Artiodactyla; Camelidae.
GAGGCUAUAGCUCAGUGGUAAAGUAUGUGCUUAGCAUGCGCAAGGUCCUGGGUUCAAUCCCCAGUACCUCCA